RNAcentral lists this ribosomal RNA (253 nucleotides) under uncultured bacterium. RNAcentral describes it as "partial 16S ribosomal RNA". It matches the Rfam family "Bacterial small subunit ribosomal RNA", at positions 524 to 776 of the family's 1533-position model. The record is from RNAcentral.
UACGAAGGGGGCUAGCGUUGCUCGGAAUUACUGGGCGUAAAGCGCACGUAGGCGGAUUGUUAAGUCGGGGGUGAAAUCCUGGAGCUCAACUCCAGAACUGCCUUCGAUACUGGCGAUCUCGAGUUUGGGAGAGGUGAGUGGAACUGCGAGUGUAGAGGUGAAAUUCGUAGAUAUUCGCAAGAACACCAGUGGCGAAGGCGGCUCACUGGCCCGAUACUGACGCUGAGGCACGAAAGCGUGGGGAGCAAACCGG